GACGAACGCUGGCGGCGUGCUUAACACAUGCAAGUCGAACGGUGAAGGGACCGGUUUUUGCUGGUUCUGGAUGAGUGGCGCACGGGUGAGUAACACGUGAGUAACCUGCCCCCUUCUUCUGGAUAACCGCAUGAAAGUGUGGCUAAUACGGGAUAUUCUGCGCCUGCUGCAUGGUGGGUGUGGGAAAGAUAUUGUUUCGGUGGGGGAUGGGCUCGCGGCCUAUCAGCUUGUUGGUGGGGUGAUGGCCUACCAAGGCGGUGACGGGUAGCCGGCCUGAGAGGGUGGACGGUCACACUGGGACUGAGACACGGCCCAGACUCAUACGGGAGGCAGCAGUGGGGAAUAUUGAACAAUGGGGGAAAGCCUGAUGCAGCGACGCCGCGUGAGGGAUGGAGGCCUUCGGGUUGUAAACCUCUUUCGCCAGUGAAGCAGGCCUGUCCCUUUUGUGGGUGGGUUGACGGUAGCUGGAUAAGAAGCGCCGGCUAACUACGUG
Molecule: ribosomal RNA, 493 nt
Filed under: uncultured bacterium
Lineage: Bacteria
Description: partial 16S ribosomal RNA
Rfam family: Bacterial small subunit ribosomal RNA
Source: RNAcentral